Molecule: long non-coding RNA, 222 nt
Filed under: Marmota monax (woodchuck)
Lineage: Eukaryota; Metazoa; Chordata; Mammalia; Rodentia; Sciuridae
Source: RNAcentral
GUGGCAAUAAAGAGGAUGAAAUCGAGGAGGAGGAACAUGUUUUUCCAAUUAGUCACAAACCACCCAAGCGGAGCUUCUCAAAACUGGCCAGUGGUUUCCCCAUUACCAAAAAUUCCUCUCCCUUUCUUUCUCCAUAAAGAAUUUCACCAGGGUUUUCAAGCGGCUUUGGCACUAACAGGCCAUACGCACAGAAUACACAGAAUGCCCCCGGCCCACGCCCCG